Molecule: non-coding RNA, 2089 nt
Organism: Oncorhynchus mykiss (rainbow trout)
Lineage: Eukaryota; Metazoa; Chordata; Actinopteri; Salmoniformes; Salmonidae
Source: RefSeq, a predicted model, not a curated record
UACCAAUGCCACAGGGCAUUGAUUGGGGACAUUGCCCUGUUUAGGGUGCCAUCUUUUGGAUGGAAUGUUAAACAGGUGUCCUGACUAUGUGGUCAAUAAAGAUCCCAUGGCACUUAUCAUAAGAGUAGGGGUAUUAACCCUGAUGUCCUGGCUAAAUUCCCAAUCUGACCAUCAUGGUCUACUAAUCAUCCUCAGCUUCCAAUUGGCUCUUUCAUCCCCCUGUAACUAUUCCCCAGGUCAUUGCUGUAAAUGAGAACAUGUUCUCAGUCAACUUACCUGGUGAAAUAAGGGUUAAAUUAAAAAAAUAUCAUUGUCCUUCCUGUACCUCUCAGAAUAUGACAGCUACUCCAGCAGAUGAUCUCAGUAGUGAAAUACUGCUCUAACGACAGGAGAGAAGGUGAGUAAAUACUGCUUUUGUGGUCUUAUGAGAAGAACGAUAGUUUCAAGAAUUACACAAAUCUUGGUACAAACUCAAGAGACACCAAGGCUUUUGAGUGACUGAUUGCUCCUCUCAUCUGUGCAUUAUAUGUUCCAGUAGGAACAUUCAACAUUUCCUCAGCAUCUUAUAUGGCUCUAUCCCUGCCUUCCUUCGACAUAUCAGAGAGCCAGAACAUCUUAGUGGCUGUUCUGUAUGCCUGAAUAAGUCAUUCACUGUGAUUUUUUUCAUUUGUAUAUACUGUCAUGUCUUUUAUCAAUAUCUUAACCCAUAAAAUGUUAUUGUGGAACAAAUGCUGUAGUUAACAACCUCAACCCAGCUAUGACAAAUAGUCUGCUCAUCUUUUCCCUAUCUCCACCUUAGCUUUAGGUGUUGAAGUGGAAGGACUGCAGGUAUUUUAUGUCUGCAUCAGCUUUUUUAUUGUUUCCAGGAAGUAGAGGGACAGACACCCCCAGGUGCAAGCGUGUCAGCACACAGGUUGAGGAGGGAGACAAAAACACACAUAAAGGGAGGCUGACUGAUGAGUGAUGACUUCUACAGCCAAACUGUGCAAGUUGGCUCCCAUACAUACCAUGCAGGUCUGCUGCUGCGCCUGAUGCACUACAGAUGCGCCUGAUGCACUACAGAUGCAGCAGACAGAGGUCACGGGUCAGAUCUGGGAAGACUAGAUACAUUUGUUUAUCUGCCUGUCCUGACCCUGAGCCUGCCUGCCGUUCUGUCCCUGUUUGACCCUGCCUUGGACUACGAACUGCCCUUUGCCUGCCCUUUUGUACAAUAAAAAUUGACUGUCGAACUAUCACACCUCCUGUGUCUGCAUCUGAGUUGUGAUAUAGAUGGCUUCCUUUCAUUGAUCCCUGUAUUCUGAACCCGUUCUCUCAAUGUAUUCUAGUCUGUUAACAAAAUUUGAAUUAAAGGUACACCAUUAUUAAAGGGAUGGCUUAAGAUAAAUGUACUGAAAACCCUACUGAAUGAAAACUCCACGAGAAUCUUUUGGCUAGCAAGUGGAAGGGUAUUCCGUGGUUGAAUUAAAUCUAUUCAGCGCACGCAAGGGAACCACGCCUACAAAGCCCAUUACGCACCUGCAAAAUCUAAGUCUGAAUAACAACUACUGACAAGUGAUUAGGAAAGGCUCAUGUAGGUUAGGUGUCUGUUUCCUACGCCUGAAUCGUGCCCAUUAUGCAUUUUUCAGCAAAUGUUGUCAUUUCUAGAUCUUCCUCUGUUAAAAGCCAUUGCAAUAUAUUAGUUUCCACAUAAUCUAGUCUUUAGCUGUCUAUUGAAAGGUAUUUUGUUAGAGAUUUGCAUUAGUGAUAGCUUGGAUAAGCAUGUCAGGACUCUGAUUAUUUAUGAUUCAUAAUGCAACAGCUCACCCAGAUCAGAGUAGAAGACUCUAUAUUUAUCUAGUCGUAUUCUGUGGAUUAUCUGCAGUCACCAUUCAAGGUAGGUUCUGUUGACAUACUCUGACUGUAUUGGACAGCAAUUUCCCCUCUCAUGAAUAACAAAUAAUUACUGUAUCUCUUUCACCCACUUAUCAUUUGUGCAAUGUGUACUAACAUUUGGGAAGAUGCAACAUGAAUGUUUGAUAAAAUGCUAUAUUCCAAAUCGCAACUCAGGCUGUUUCUAUGACAACGAAGACGAAGAUGGGCAUGAUAUCAA